AGUGAACGCUGGCGGUAGGCCUAACACAUGCAAGUCGAACGGCAGCACAGUAAGAGCUUGCUCUUACGGGUGGCGAGUGGCGGACGGGUGAGGAAUACAUCGGAAUCUACUUUUUCGUGGGGGAUAACGUAGGGAAACUUACGCUAAUACCGCAUACGACCUACGGGUGAAAGCAGGGGAUCUUCGGACCUUGCGCGAUUGAAUGAGCCGAUGUCGGAUUAGCUAGUUGGCGGGGUAAAGGCCCACCAAGGCGACGAUCCGUAGCUGGUCUGAGAGGAUGAUCAGCCACACUGGAACUGAGACACGGUCCAGACUCCUACGGGAGGCAGCAGUGGGGAAUAUUGGACAAUGGGCGCAAGCCUGAUCCGGCCAUACCGCGUGGGUGAAGAAGGCCUUCGGGUUGUAAAGCCCUUUUGUUGGGAAAGAAAAGCAGCAGGUUAAUACCCCGCUGUUCUGACGGUACCCAAAGAAUAAGCACCGGCUAACCUCGUG
Molecule: ribosomal RNA, 492 nt
Filed under: uncultured bacterium
Lineage: Bacteria
Description: partial 16S ribosomal RNA
Rfam family: Bacterial small subunit ribosomal RNA
Source: RNAcentral